CUCAAUAUUCUUAAUUUAUCGCUCUCUAUAACAAUCAUCAUCUAUAGUCUGAUAUGGGGAUUCCAAGGUAUAUAGUAGCUGGCCCAUCGGAAAUGCUUGCCAUCACGGGAAAUGGCAUACCUGAAAUACUUCUGAAGAAGAAGCAUUUUUUAUGGCCCCUCCAAAAAUGCACUACGCUUGACAUUUCCCCGGUGAACUACUCGUUCCAGGUUCAAGCUAUGAGCGCGGAAAAACUCCCUUUCUACCUCCCCGCGGUAUUCACAAUUGGGCCAAAAGUGUUGGAGGAGACGAAUUAUGAGAGCUUGAUUAAGUAUGCAAAACUUAUGUCUAAUAGUGACAAGCAAUCAACUCAUAUACAAGAUCUUGUCAAGGGAGUUAUCGAAGGGGAAACUCGUGUACUUGCAGCUUCCAUGACAAUGGAACAGAUUUUUAAGGGAACAAAGGAAUUUAAGCAAGAAGUAUUUGAUAAAGUACAACUUGAAUUGAAUCAAUUUGGGCUUUAUAUCUAUAAUGCUAAUGUUAAGCAACUUGUAGAUGUUCCUGGCCAUGAGUAUUUCUCUUACCUUGGACAAAAGACUCAGAUGGAGGCUGCUAAUCAAGCAAAGAUUGAUGUAGCGGAGGCGAGGAUGAAAGGAGAGAUAGGUGCAAAGCUAAGAGAUGGAGAAACAAAGCAAAAUGCUGCUAAGAUUGAUGCUGAGACAUUUAUUGAAUCAACGAUAAGGCAAGGAGAAGGAAAGAAGGAAGAAGUUAGAGUAAACACUGAAGUUAAAAUAUUUCAGAACCAAAGAGAAGCUGAGGUUGUUGAGGCAACUACUGUGCUGGCAAAGAAGAAAGCAGGGUGGUCUCAGACUGCCAGGCUGGCGGAGGUGGAAGCCGAGAAGGCGGUAGCCAUAAGAGAAGCAGAGCUGCAAAUGGAAGUGGAGAAAAAGAAAGCUUUUGUUGAGACUGCUAAGCUCAAGGCAGAGCUUCUCACCAAGGCUACUGUGGAAUAUGAUAUUAAGGUGCAAGAGGCAAAUUCUGAAUUAUACAAGCGACAGAAAGAAGCAGAAGCUGCACUAUUCGAGAGCCAGAAGAAAGCAGAGGCACAAAGAGCAAAUGCAGAUGCUGAACUCUAUGCUAGGCAGCAGGCUGCAAACAGCGAGCUGUAUGCAAAACAGAAAGAAGCGGAAGGAGUAGCAAUGAUUGGGAAAGCACAAGCCAUUUACUUAGGAUCCAUUCUUAAGGAAUUGAAUCACAAUUACCCUGCUCUCAGAGACUAUUUGAUGAUCAACAACGGUAUCUAUCAGGAAAUUGCAAAUACCAACGCUCAAGCAGUGCAAGGUAUGCAGCCAAAGAUUAGCAUUUGGUCAGGCUCUAAUAGCACUGAAAGCAAUGGUGGCGAAGGAUUGAAGGAUGUUGCUGGUUUGUACCGCAUGUUACCUCCUCUGCUUGAAACUGUGCACGAACAAACUGGGAUGCAGCCUCCUGCUUGGCUUGCGACAUUGCCUGACCUGUCAUCAUCAAAUCGAUCUCUGUAAUUAACAAUGGGUAUUCCACAGUAUAUAGUUGCUGGUCCAUCGGAGAUACUUGCCAUCACCGGAAGUGGCAUAAAAGAAAUUAGACUGGAGAAGAAGCACUUUUUAUGGCCCCUUCAAAAAUGCACCAGGCUUGAUAUAUCACCUGUCAACUAUUCGUUCGAAGUUCAAGCUAUGAGUGCUGAAAAACUCCCUUUUGUUCUCCCUGCUGUUUUCACAAUUGGGCCACAAAUGGACGAAAACAAUGAGAGUCUGAUUAAGUAUGCACAGCUUGUAUCUAAUCAUGACAAGAAUUCAAAUCAUGUUAAAGAACUUGUAAAGGGAAUUAUCGAGGGGGAAACGCGUGUUCUUGCUGCUUCAAUGACUAUGGAACAGAUCUUUAAGGGAACUAAAGAGUUUAAGAAAGAAGUAUUUGAGAAAGUGCAACUUGAAUUGAAUCAAUUUGGGCUUUAUAUCUAUAAUGCUAAUGUUAAACAACUUGUAGAUGUACCUGGCCAUGAGUAUUUCUCUUACCUUGGACAAAAAACUCAGAUGGAAGCUGCUAACCAAGCUAAGAUAGAUGUAGCAGAGGCGAGGAUGAAAGGAGAGAUAGGUUCAAAGCAAAGAGAUGGAGAAACAAAGCAGAAUGCUGCUAAGAUUGAUGCUGAGACAAUGAUCAUAUCAACCAGAAGGCAAGGAGAAGGCAAAAAAGAAGAAGUUAGAGUAAAGACUGAAGUUAGAGUAUUUGAAAACCAAAAAGAAGCAGAGGUUGUUGAGGCAAGUGCUGAGCUGGCAAGGAAGAAAGCCGGGUGGUCUCGGACUGCCAGGCUGGCGGAGGUGGAAGCUGAGAAGGUGGUGGCAAUAAGAGAGGCAGAGCUGCAAAUGGAAGUGGAAAAGAAGAAAGCUCUUGCUCAGACUGCUAAGCUCAAGGCUGAUCUUCUCAGCAAGGCUAAUGUUGAAUACGAUAUUAAGGUGCAAGAGGCAAACUCAGUAUUAUACAAGCGACAGAAAGAAGCAGAAGCUGCACUAUUCGAGAGCCAGAAGAAAGCAGAGGCACAAAGAGCCAGUGCAGAUGCUGACCUCUAUGCUCGGCAGCAGGCUGCAAACAGUGAACUGUAUGCAAAGCAAAAGGAAGCGGAAGGAGUAGCAGCGAUUGGAAAAGCACAAGCCAUGUACUUAGGAUCCAUUCUCAAGGAAUUGAAUCACGAUUACUCUGCUCUCAGAGACUAUUUGAUGAUCAAUAACGGUAUCUAUAAGGAAAUUGCCCAACUCAAUGCUCAAGCAGUGAACGGUAUGCAGCCAAAGAUUAGCAUUUGGUCAGGCGCUAAUGGAGGUGAAAGGAAUGGUGGUGAAGGUGGGAGUGGAUUGAAGGAUGUUGCGGGUUUGUACCGCAUGCUGCCUCCUCUGCUUCAAACAGUGCAGGAACAAACUGGGAUGCAGCCUCCUGCUUGGCUUGCAACCUUACCUGAUGAAUCUAAAUGAAGUGCACUUUAAUUGCUUUAUGCUUUA
Molecule: RNA transcript, 3002 nt
Organism: Solanum stenotomum
Lineage: Eukaryota; Viridiplantae; Streptophyta; Magnoliopsida; Solanales; Solanaceae
Exons: 6
Source: RefSeq, a predicted model, not a curated record